Molecule: ribosomal RNA, 253 nt
Filed under: uncultured bacterium
Lineage: Bacteria
Description: partial 16S ribosomal RNA
Rfam family: Bacterial small subunit ribosomal RNA
Source: RNAcentral
UACGUAGGGCGCAAGCGUUGUCCGGAAUUAUUGGGCGUAAAGAGCUCGUAGGCGGCUUGUCACGUCGGUUGUGAAAGCCCGGGGCUUAACCCCGGGUCUGCAGUCGAUACGGGCUAGCUAGAGUGUGGUAGGGGAGAUCGGAAUUCCUGGUGUAGCGGUGAAAUGCGUAGAGAUCUGGAGGAACACCCGUGGCGAAGGCGGCUCCCUGGUCCGGUUCUGACGCUGAGACGCGAAAGCGCGGGGAGCGAACGGG